This is an RNA transcript of Cucumis melo (muskmelon), 1998 nucleotides long. RefSeq lists it as uncharacterized. The record is from RefSeq and is a predicted model, not a curated record. The transcript is spliced from 3 exons. NCBI's taxonomy places the organism in Eukaryota, Viridiplantae, Streptophyta, Magnoliopsida, Cucurbitales, Cucurbitaceae.
AUCCAAUUGUACUAAAAAAUAUAUAAUAAACUAAUAAGGAUUUUAAUAUAUUGGGAUACCUAUAUUUUAAUACUAAACUUAAACUAAAACAAAAAAAAUUACUUCUUUCGCUGUCGACCAACGUGUAUUAUAAAAAAUCAUUAAAAUAUAUAUAACAUAUUUUAUUUUCAAAUUAAUGUGACCAAUAAAGAUAUUUUUUUUUUAAAAUAAUUGUUUAAUAUCCAGCCUUUGUAAUAAAACAAAAAGGAAAAUAAAAUUUAAUACGGGAAAUUAGAACAGUACACAACUGUCUGUCACGACAUUCCAUUCCAAGUGUGUACACAAUUACAAAAUUUGUUCUUUAAUUUGACAUAGUUUUCUUUAGUACAUCUUUAAUGGUUUUCGUUUUAGUUACGUUUGUUUGUUCUUUUUCCCUAAACUUAGAUUUAGUUUUAAUAAUUUUUAGAUUUUAGAAGUCUUGUUUUAAAACAUUUUUAAAAGUGAUUUUUUAAAAUUUAUUCAAUCCCUAUCUUAUAUUGAAGUAAAUUCAGUUUUUUUGUUUAUUUAAAAAUGUGGCAGACGUUUUAAUGAAUUGUCACAAUUAUUUGUUUGUUUUUUUUUUAAACUAAAUCUUAUAAUAUCAUAAAACUUGUUAUAAGUGGUAAAAAAUUCCAAAGAUUAUUUCAAUUUACUGUGUUUUUUUUUUUUUUUUUUGUUGCUUUCAAGGUGUUUACAAAUCAAAGCCGAAGUUAAAAAGAAAAAGUUUUCGUUUUUUUUUCCUUAAGAAAUUAACUAAUAGGAAAUAUGAAAAUUGUGAGUAAAAAAAUUAUGAAAAAAUCAGUACAAUUUUUAAUUGGGAAGAUAGAAACCAAUGCAAAAAAGAAACUUAAAAUUAUGUGAAAUAUUUUAUAAUAAGAACAUUUAGUUUAGGGUAUUUAAUGCGAAAUUAUAAAUCAUGUGGAACUUGCUGAGGAUCCCGCCGUUACCUGCCGAUGGAAAUCUGUUCUCUUUAACUCGGAGCGUCGUUCCCGGUCUUUAAUGGCGGCGAGGCGAUUUCUCUCUCUCGCUUUUCGUCAUCGGUUACAGACCUCUCCUUCGCCCGAAAGCGCUUCCCCAGUUCACCCAUUUGCAAAUUCAUGGUUCUUGACUGGGUACAGAUUUUUGAGAAGAGAAACCCACACUGAGGCAAAUCCAGCAAUUGCUGAGGAAUCUAAAGACAAUGAAGACACUAAGUUGAGGCCUAUUUCCGAAUUGGGUGAUCCCCUUCAUGAAAACAAGGACGAUACUUCUUCUGUGAAGUACUCUGUUCUCUCCAAUUUAAAACCAUCCCCUAGGCAUGACCUUGCCAUGAUAUUCACUUGCAAAGUCUGCGAGACAAGAUCAAUCAAGACAGUUUGCCGCGAAUCGUAUGAGAAGGGUGUGGUGGUGGCACGUUGCGGUGGAUGCAGCAAUUUACACCUGAUUGCCGACCAUCUUGGUUGGUUUGGCGAGCCAGGCAGCGUGGAAGACUUCCUGGCUGCUCGUGGUGAGGAAGUUCGCAAAGGUUCCCUCGAUUCACUAAGCUUGACUCUUGAAGAUUUGGCUGGAAAGACAUCCUGAAAAUUUUGGAACUUUAUCUAUCUUGAGAGGUGUACAAAUAGUUACUUAACUCAGGUUUCGAUUUCGGAUAUUUGAUGUUCGGAUAAAAGAUAUUUCGAGGUUUGUUUUUGCGGUGAAAUUUAUAAGAAACAGCACCUGCUGGGAGAAGUUUGGGGAUUUGGGGCUGCCUAACUGCUCCCUUUAAGAACGCAAUCAAACAACUCGGAUGACCGUCACAAUGGGCUACAGAUGACUGCAGAUGUCUUUGAAUAUAUGUAUUAUUCUAUAAGCAAUUUGUGCAAUAUUUGUGAAAAUCCAUACAGUUCUAAGUUUGACUUUAAGUAGAAGAAGAAAACAGACAUUUACUCUGCCUGAGGCUUUAAUCUUCGUAUGUUAUGUGUGUUAUUUAAAUAAAUAUACGUAGUUCUUAUUUUAACUAAA